This 1386-nucleotide ribosomal RNA is filed under the name Charonia tritonis (giant triton snail). RNAcentral's name for it is "16S ribosomal RNA". The stretch from base 609 to 1386 matches the Rfam family "Archaeal large subunit ribosomal RNA", at positions 1423 to 2896 of the family's 2987-position model. The record is from RNAcentral. Lineage: Eukaryota; Metazoa; Mollusca; Gastropoda; Littorinimorpha; Ranellidae.
AAACAAAACCAUUAGAGUUAUUUAAUUAGAAACUAAUCGCUUAUAUCUAUUAAAACAUUUUUAAAUUAAGUAAAGGUGAUUAAAACUUAUUAACGAUACAUCAAUACAAGUACUGAGAAGGAAGAUUUUAAAUUAAAUAAUAGAAAAACUUAAAGUUUGUACCUUUUGCAUCAUGGUUUAGCUAGAUUUAGAUUCUAAUUAUAAUUUCUCGAAAUCUAAUGAGCUAUUCUUGGCUCUUAUUUUAGUAUUAUACAAAUUAGCUGUGGCAAAAGCUUUUUGAUAGCCAAGAAUAGAAAUGAAAUUUUAUGCGAAUUAGAUGAUAGCUAGUUCUUUUUUAGAAACAUAUAAGUGUUGCUAAUUAAAUUUUCAAGAAAAGCACUUCUAUAUAAAAUUUAAUUAUGACAAAUUACUGAGGAUAAGCUCAGUAAUUAAUUUACUUAUAAAAUACGUAAUUUUCUGUUAGAUUUAAGCUUGAAAAUAGCUAUAAUAUGAAGAUUUUGUUAUAAUUUUAUAUAACUCCUAGAAAUAGAAUUUAUUUAUUUUGAUAUCAAGAAAGAAAAUUCAUAAACUUAAAUGAAUUAUAUCAAUGCUAAGAUGAGUAUUAAAAUCUAUUUGACUAAAACUAUUAAGUAAAUAUAGCAAACUAGACUUAGAGUUUAAAAAUUAAAUUGUAAGAAGGAACUUGGCAAAUAAAUCAUUCUGCCUGUUUAUCAAAAACAUGGCUCCUCGACCUUAAAAUAUGAGGAGUCGGACCUGCCCAGUGAAAAAUUUAAACGGCCGCGGUACUCUGACCGUGCAAAGGUAGCAUAAUCAUUUGCCCUAUAAUUGAGGGCUAGUAUGAAUGGUUUGACAAGAAUGAAACUGUCUCCAUACAAUUAUAUAGAACUUUAUUAUUAGGUGAAGAAGCCUAAAUAAAAUUAAAAGACAAGAAGACCCUAUCGAGCUUAAAAUAAAUUAAUGAAUUAAUAUGAAUAGUAAUUAAAACAACAUUCAUUAUAAAUUUUAGUUGGGGCGACGGAGGAACAUUAAAAGCUUCUUUUAAGAUUUUAAUUACUAAACGAGUAUAGAUCCAGAAAAUUCUGAUUAGAGGAAUUAGUUACCGUAGGGAUAACAGCAUUAUCUUUUUUGAGAGCCCAUAUCGAAAAAAAGGUUUGUGACCUCGAUGUUGGACCAGAAUAUCCUAAAGAUGCAGAAGUCUUUAAGGGUUGGUCUGUUCGACCAUUAAAAUUCUACGUGAUCUGAGUUCAGACCGGCGUGAGCCAGGUCAGUUUCUAUCUUUUAUUACUAAAAUAAAUUUAGUACGAAAGGACCAAUUUAUUACAUUAAAGAUGUAACUUAUUGAUAGAAUAUAAUAUAAAAGUAAAUUAGAUUAUUAGAUUUAUUUGU